AACAGGAUUAGAUACCCUGGUAGUCCAUGCCGUAAACGAUGUCUACUAGCCGUUGGGGCCCUUGAGGCUUUAGUGGCGCAGCUAACGCGAUAAGUAGACCGCCUGGGGAGUACGGUCGCAAGACUAAAACUCAAAUGAAUUGACGGGGGCCCGCACAAGCGGUGGAGCAUGUGGUUUAAUUCGAUGCAACGCGAAGAACCUUACCUGGCCUUGACAUACAGAGAACUUUCCAGAGAUGGAUCGGUGCCUUCGGGAACUCUGAUACAGGUGCUGCAUGGCUGUCGUCAGCUCGUGUCGUGAGAUGUUGGGUUAAGUCCCGCAACGAGCGCAACCCUUUUCCUUAUUUGCCAGCACUUCGGGUGGGAACUUUAAGGAUACUGCCAGUGACAAACUGGAGGAAGGCGGGGACGACGUCAAGUCAUCAUGGCCCUUACGGCCAGGGCUACACACGUGCUACAAUGGUCGGUACAAAGGGUUGCUACACAGCGAUGUGAUGCUAAUCUCAAAAAGCCGAUCGUAGUCCGGAUUGGAGUCUGCAACUCGACUCCAUGAAGUCGGGAUCGCUAGUAAUCGCGGAUCAGAAUGCCGCGGUGAAUACGUUCCCGGGCCUUGUACACACCGCCCGUCACACCAUGGGAGUUUGUUGCACCAGAAGUAGGUAGUCUAACCGCAAGGAGGACGCUUACCACGGUGUGGCCGAUGACUGGGGUGAAGUCGUAACAAGGUAACC
This 730-nucleotide ribosomal RNA is filed under the name uncultured Acinetobacter sp. RNAcentral describes it as "bacterial SSU rRNA". It matches the Rfam family "Bacterial small subunit ribosomal RNA", at positions 771 to 1501 of the family's 1533-position model. Lineage: Bacteria; Pseudomonadati; Pseudomonadota; Gammaproteobacteria; Moraxellales; Moraxellaceae. The record is from RNAcentral.